UACUCGAGUGGCGAACGGGUGAGUAACACGUGGGUGAUCUGCCCUGCACUUCGGGAUAAGCCUGGGAAACUGGGUCUAAUACAGGAUAGGAGCCAUUUUUAGUGUGAUGGUUGGAAAGUUUUUUCGGUGUAGGAUGAGCUCGCGGCCUAUCAGCUUGUUGGUGGGGUAAUGGCCUACCAAGGCGGCGACGGGUAGCCGGCCUGAGGGGGUGGACGGCCACAUUGGGACUGAGAUACGGCCCAG
RNAcentral lists this ribosomal RNA (243 nucleotides) under uncultured Actinomycetales bacterium. RNAcentral's name for it is "partial 16S ribosomal RNA". It matches the Rfam family "Bacterial small subunit ribosomal RNA", at positions 88 to 334 of the family's 1533-position model. Lineage: Bacteria; Bacillati; Actinomycetota; Actinomycetes; Actinomycetales. The record is from RNAcentral.